AGGGUUUGAUUAUGGCUCAGAUUGAACGCUGGCGGCAGGCCUAACACAUGCAAGUCGAGCGGUAGAGAGGUGCUUGCACCUCUUGAGAGCGGCGGACGGGUGAGUAAUGCCUAGGAAUCUGCCUGGUAGUGGGGGAUAACGCUCGGAAACGGACGCUAAUACCGCAUACGUCCUACGGGAGAAAGCAGGGGACCUUCGGGCCUUGCGCUAUCAGAUGAGCCUAGGUCGGAUUAGCUAGUUGGUGGGGUAAUGGCUCACCAAGGCGACGAUCCGUAACUGGUCUGAGAGGAUGAUCAGUCACACUGGAACUGAGACACGGUCCAGACUCCUACGGGAGGCAGCAGUGGGGAAUAUUGGACAAUGGGCGAAAGCCUGAUCCAGCCAUGCCGCGUGUGUGAAGAAGGUCUUCGGAUUGUAAAGCACUUUAAGUUGGGAGGAAGGGCAUUAACCUAAUACGUUAGUGUUUUGACGUUACCGACAGAAUAAGCACCGGCUAACUCUGUGCCAGCAGCCGCGGUAAUACAGAGGGUGCAAGCGUUAAUCGGAAUUACUGGGCGUAAAGCGCGCGUAGGUGGUUCGUUAAGUUGGAUGUGAAAUCCCCGGGCUCAACCUGGGAACUGCAUUCAAAACUGUCGAGCUAGAGUAUGGUAGAGGGUGGUGGAAUUUCCUGUGUAGCGGUGAAAUGCGUAGAUAUAGGAAGGAACACCAGUGGCGAAGGCGACCACCUGGACUGAUACUGACACUGAGGUGCGAAAGCGUGGGGAGCAAACAGGAUUAGAUACCCUGGUAGUCCACGCCGUAAACGAUGUCAACUAGCCGUUGGGAGCCUUGAGCUCUUAGUGGCGCAGCUAACGCAUUAAGUUGACCGCCUGGGGAGUACGGCCGCAAGGUUAAAACUCAAAUGAAUUGACGGGGGCCCGCACAAGCGGUGGAGCAUGUGUUUAAUUCGA
RNAcentral lists this ribosomal RNA (950 nucleotides) under uncultured Pseudomonas sp. Its description in RNAcentral is "bacterial SSU rRNA". It matches the Rfam family "Bacterial small subunit ribosomal RNA", at positions 8 to 954 of the family's 1533-position model. Lineage: Bacteria; Pseudomonadati; Pseudomonadota; Gammaproteobacteria; Pseudomonadales; Pseudomonadaceae. The record is from RNAcentral.